GUGCUUACUUUGGCAACACAUAUACUAAAAUUGGAAUGAUACGGAGAUUAGCAUUGUCCCUAGUUAAGGAUGACACACAAAUUCAUGAAGCAUUAUAUAUAUAU
Molecule: small nuclear RNA, 104 nt
Filed under: Theropithecus gelada (gelada)
Lineage: Eukaryota; Metazoa; Chordata; Mammalia; Primates; Cercopithecidae
Source: RNAcentral